This 112-nucleotide ribosomal RNA is filed under the name Caerostris darwini. The record is from RNAcentral. Lineage: Eukaryota; Metazoa; Arthropoda; Arachnida; Araneae; Araneidae.
AACGGCCGUACCAUGCUGAAUAUACCGGUUCUCGUUAGAUCACCGAAGUCAAGCAUCAUUGGGCGCGGUCAGUACUUGUGUGGGUGACCACCUGGGAACACUGCGUGCCGUU